RNAcentral lists this small nucleolar RNA (138 nucleotides) under Stegastes partitus (bicolor damselfish). RNAcentral's name for it is "Small nucleolar RNA SNORA17 (ENSSPAG00000004900.1)". It matches the Rfam family "Small nucleolar RNA SNORA17". Rfam says of the family: snoRNA ACA 17 belongs to the H/ACA family of snoRNAs and is predicted to guide pseudouridylation of the 28S rRNA at positions U4659 and U4598. It shares the same host gene together with ACA43. Lineage: Eukaryota; Metazoa; Chordata; Actinopteri; Pomacentridae. The record is from Rfam by way of RNAcentral.
AAUGCCCCUUGAGGCGUUGCAGCCCAGCCUUCAUUGUUGCGGCUGUGUCAUAAGGUGGCAGAGAGAGAGACUGGUGGUAGUCUGCACUGAGACUCUGCAACACACAGAGGACUCGGAGUGAUUCUCACCACCGACAAG